Molecule: long non-coding RNA, 742 nt
Organism: Rhincodon typus (whale shark)
Lineage: Eukaryota; Metazoa; Chordata; Chondrichthyes; Orectolobiformes; Rhincodontidae
Exons: 4
Source: RefSeq, a predicted model, not a curated record
GACAGAGAUAGAGCCAUUUUCAAUGAUGAAUAAAAAGGGCAAGGAGCAAAGGACCCUUUCUACGUUGGCACACAAAGCUGAUGGUGUGAGCAGAGCUUGUAGCGGGAUCAAUGUUUAGGUAUGAGGGCAAUUACAGGAGUGUGCAUCUUUGAAGGGAUAUUCGAAGUAACAGCUCUCUGCAUCUCAAUGUACAAGCAAGCAGCAAUGACAAUUUGAAUUUGCAUCACAUCUUAUAUGGAGAGAAUAUAAUCCAGUUCUCUUCCUGUCUUUGCUCUUCCAACUCGUGCAUCUAUCCACGAAGAGUCACUGAUCAUUAACCCUUGUUGGCUGAAGAGCAGGAGUAUGCAGUUUUUUUCUCUCUACUUGCCUCCUGGAGGGAGGUCGGUUGUGGAGGCAAUAGUGGUGAUGACAGUAGCUGGGGUCCCAAUGCAGGAGCUUUGAGAGUUGGCCAUGAGGAGGUUGGUGUGUCCAAGCAGAACUCUGGUGGUUGGUGGCAUUGUGGCUUCUUCGAACAGCACCAGAGCGGAACUCUGCGGAAAAGUGCCUGGUGACCUCGGAUGGUGGCUGGCGGUGAGAUGGCUGGUUCCGGUCUUGAGGCAAGGUCAGUGCAGACUGAAGGCAAGUCUCCUUCUCGCGAAAUGGAGGCAAGUGGACUGGAGGCAAGUCCCGGUGCACAGAGUGGGGUGAAAGGACUGUAAAUUGUAUACUUUUUAUUUCUUUCUUUUUCUACUUUAUUCCUCUG